Molecule: ribosomal RNA, 253 nt
Filed under: uncultured bacterium
Lineage: Bacteria
Description: partial 16S ribosomal RNA
Rfam family: Bacterial small subunit ribosomal RNA
Source: RNAcentral
UACGAAGGGUGCAAGCGUUACUCGGAAUUACUGGGCGUAAAGCGUGCGUAGGUGGUGAGUUAAGUCUGAUGUGAAAUCCCCGGGCUCAACCUGGGAAUGGCAUUGGAUACUGGCUCGCUAGAGUGCGGUAGAGGGUGGUGGAAUUCCCGGUGUAGCAGUGAAAUGCGUAGAGAUCGGGAGGAACAUCUGUGGCGAAGGCGGCCACCUGGACCAACACUGACACUGAGGUACGAAAGCGUGGGGAGCAAACAGG